RNAcentral lists this unclassified non-coding RNA (289 nucleotides) under Coniochaeta sp. RNAcentral's name for it is "partial contains 5.8S ribosomal RNA, internal transcribed spacer 2, and large subunit ribosomal RNA". The stretch from base 1 to 71 matches the Rfam family "5.8S ribosomal RNA", at positions 84 to 154 of the family's 154-position model. Lineage: Eukaryota; Fungi; Ascomycota; Sordariomycetes; Coniochaetales; Coniochaetaceae. The record is from RNAcentral.
GUGAGUCAUCGAAUCUUUGAACGCACAUUGCGCCCGGCAGUACUCUGCCGGGCAUGCCUGUUCGAGCGUCAUUUCAACCCUCAAGCCCUGCUUGGUGUUGGGGUCCUACGGCUGCCGUAGGCCCUGAAAGGAAGUGGCGGGCUCGCUACAACUCCGAGCGUAGUAAUUCAUUAUCUCGCUAGGGAGGUUGCGGCGUGCUCCUGCCGUUAAAGACCCCAUCUUUAACCAAGGUUGACCUCGGAUCAGGUAGGAAUACCCGCUGAACUUAAGCAUAUCAAUAAGCGGAGGA